This is an RNA transcript of Oncorhynchus kisutch (coho salmon), 2370 nucleotides long. It is a transcript of the gene named CD209 antigen-like protein C, with no coding region annotated. Lineage: Eukaryota; Metazoa; Chordata; Actinopteri; Salmoniformes; Salmonidae. The transcript is spliced from 9 exons. The record is from RefSeq and is a predicted model, not a curated record.
UUCUCAGCUGCAUGCAUGUUCACAUGGGAUACAGAGGUGAAAGCACACUUCCACAAACAAUAUAUCUUUGAAGAGAUAUGUAGAAAAACACCUUGAGGAUUGAUUCUAAACAACGUUUGCCAUGUUUCAGUCGAUAUUAUGGAGUUAUUUUGGAAAAAGUUCUGCGUUUUUAUAACUGAAUUUUCGGGGUUUUUUGGUAGCCAAACAUGACGCAGAAAACGGACCGAUUUUCUCCUGCACAAAUAAUCUUUCAGGAAAAUUGAACAUUUGCUAUCUAACUGAGUCUCCUCAUUGAAAACAUCCGAAGUUCUUCAAAGUGUCUUGUCAGUGGUGGAAGAGAUACUCUGGAGCUGCUGCAGUGUGUCUGGGGCUGCUGUGUGUUCUCCUACUGGCUGGGAUCAUAGGCCUGUUUCUCUACCAGAGAAACCAAUUGACCAGUUCCAACACCCUGACUGAAGAGAGGGACCAGCUACAGACCAGUUACAACACCCUGACCAAAGAGAGAGACCAGCUACAGACCAGUUUCAACAUUCUGACCAAAGAGAGAGACCAGCUACAGACAAACUACAACACCCUGACUAAAGAUGGAGACCAGUUACAGACUAGCGACAACACCCUGAUCAAAGAGAGAGACCGGCUUCAGAAAGAGAUAGAACGUCUGAAACAAUCUUUAGUUGAGAAAGUGUGUCCGCAAGGAUGGAAGAAGCUUGGUAGCAGUUGUUACUACGUCUCUACUGAGUACAAAUCCUGGGAGGAGAGCAGACAGGACUGCAGAAAUAGAGGAGCACACCUGGUGGUCAUCAAGAGCGAAGACGAUCAGUGUCUUGUCAGUGGUGGAAGAGAUACUCUGGAGCUGCUGCAGUGUGUCUGGGGCUGCUGUGUGUUCUCCUACUGGCUGGGAUCAUAGGCCUGUUUCUCUACCAGAGAAACCAGUUGACCCGUUACAACACCCUGACCAGAGAGAGAGACCAGCUACAGACUAGCAACAAUGCCCUGACCAAAGAGAAAGACCAGCUACAGACUAGCAACAACGCCCUGACCAAAGAGAGAGACCAGCUACAGACUAGCAACAACGCCCUGACCAAAGAGAGAGACCAGCUACAGACCAGCGACCACACCCGGACCAAAGAGAGAGACCAGCUACAGACCAGUUACAACACUCUGACCAAAGAGAGAGACCAGCUACAGAAAGAGACAGAACGUCUGAAACAAUCUUUAGUUGAGAAAGUGUGUCCACAAGGAUGGAAGAAGAUUGGUAGGAGUUGUUACUACGUCUCUACUGAGAAAAAACCCUGGAAGGAGAGCAGACAGGACUGCAGAGAUAGAGGAGCACACCUGGUGGUCAUCAAGAGCCAGGAACAACAGACAUUAGUCAAUUUGUUAUGUGGAGUAAAGAACUAUGUCUGGAUUGGUCUGACUGACUCUGUUUCUGAGGGGACCUGGAAAUGGGUGGACGACACACCACUGACCACAAAGUAUUGGAACAGUGGACAGCCUAACGGUGAUGUAGCUGAGAACUGUGGGUAUUUCUACUCCAGGUCAUCAGACACAGGAGCUUGGUGGGAUUAUGACUGUUCCUAUGAAUACCGAUGGAUCUGUGAGAAAUAGGAUUCUAUCCUCUGUACUCUCUGUACUGCUAAACAGGAUUAUUAAGUAUUAUAACUGUUUUCUGUUUCAAUUUACCUUAUCAAGUAAAUAAAUAAAACAUAUAACAAGACAAAUGUAGAUUAUAUAUAUAUAUAAUACAAUAAAAAAAAAAAAUGCAACAACCUGAUAACAGACUGUUUUCUGUGGUUGUGGAAAUUCACCACUAAGGACUUGUCCUCCCCUCCGGAGUACGACGACGCCAGAUUACUCCGGUCCUGGGAGUUACGCAUACCUGGCACUCAUUAUUAACCUGUGUUUCACACCUGGCACUCGUUAUUAACCUGUGUUUCACACCUGGCACUCGUUAUUAACCUGUGUUUCACACCUGGCUCUUGUUAUUAACCUGUGUUUCACACCUGGAACUCGUUAUUAACCUGUGUUUCACACCUGGAACUCGUUAUUAAACUGUGUUUCACACCUGGCACUCGUUAUUAACCUGUGUUUCACACCUGGCACUCAUUUUUAACCUGUGUUUCACACCUGGUACUCGUUAUGUACCUGUGUUUCACACCUGGCACUCAUUAUUAACCUGUGUUUCACACCUGGCACUCAUUAUUAACCUGUGUUUCACACCUGGACACCAUUCCCUGCAUCAUUUCCUCCCCUUUAUAUGUCUCCCAGGGUCACUCACCAGUUGGUAUUGAUCUUGUGUGUCGGCGUUCUGCAUUAUGUUAUUAUUGUUGUGUUCUUGGUUUUGUUGUUUUAUUAAAAUAUUUCACCUGC